GAGUGGGAGGUAGAUUUUCAAUGCUCACAUAAUUAAUAGGCAAUAUUUUUAUUAAUCAGGUCACUUAACCAUUGUAAUUCUUUUCCAGGUGACCAUUACGGUGUGCAGUCAACUGGGGAGUCUUGGUAUUAGCAUUGCUGGUGGAAAGGGCUCAUCUUCAUGUAAAGAAAGUGACGAGGGAAUCCUGAUUGCACGGCUGCCAAAAGAUGGUCAAUCAGACUUGGCUGGUGUACAAGCAGGAGACAGAGUGGCUGAGGCAACCUUUGUUUCAGAGCCUGCUGCCCUUGAUGCUGGUCCUACUGAAGCGUCCCCCAAGGCCAGCCCCUCCCCGACAGUCAACCAUGUCAUAACAAAUUAUCUGUAGAAGAUGGAAGUUUCACACCUUCCCACAUGCCUUAGACAAGCAACUCAGAUACCUCGGAUAAUCCUCACACGCCCUUCCACUUCUGAUGAAGAUGCUGACCAGUUGCCCCCAGACCCUGAAGACUUUGAGCCCGAGGAGCCUGACAGUGCAGAAGGUCAUGCCUAUUCAGACUGUCUGAGCAGUGCUUUUUAUCCUCCCUAAUAAAGUACUUUUCU
This is a non-coding RNA of Lonchura striata (white-rumped munia), 579 nucleotides long. NCBI's taxonomy places the organism in Eukaryota, Metazoa, Chordata, Aves, Passeriformes, Estrildidae. The record is from RefSeq and is a predicted model, not a curated record.